Molecule: long non-coding RNA, 851 nt
Organism: Seriola aureovittata
Lineage: Eukaryota; Metazoa; Chordata; Actinopteri; Carangiformes; Carangidae
Exons: 3
Source: RefSeq, a predicted model, not a curated record
AUACAGUAGCUCUAAUGAUAAAAGAUGAUGCACAGAGGAAUGGAGAAGAUAAACUGCAGGAAGGAAAUGGGUGAUAAACAGGAGUGGAGCAAAAAAUAAAUAAAAUUGUUCAUUUGUUAAUGAUUUGAUGAUUCUUACUUCUUUUUUUUUUAAUCAAAGCAACUCAGAUGAUUUGUGUCAAGCUCAAGCCAAAAAGCAGUAAAUAACAGUAAAACACCAUGUGUGGAACCUUGACAUAACCUUUCCCCUCCAUCCGAGCUUUGAACACCCCAGUGCGUACGCCUCGCUUCCAUUUCAGCCGCACGUCUCAAUAGACCGAUAUCUUUCCCCAUGUCUGGUCGUCCGUCAUGACGAAUCAGCGACAGGGCAGUUCUAUUAAAGCAAAAGUGCCACAAAGUGAACGACACAUGUUAUUGGAUUAUCACGUCAAGCCAGGCGGAAACACUUCUGACUGAUUUCAGGGCAGGAGGAUGUGUGUGUGACAGGAAAACUACCUGCCUGUCAGUUCAAAGUGAUAACCAGUACUCUCUGGAAUGCAGUUUAAUGACGCCGACAGACUCUUUGCUGUGCUUCCUUGACCGAUCCUGCCUCCCAAUUAGCCCAUGCACUCUGCUCAUCACUUUCACCUGGUUUUCCGCGCCCAUCUCCACACCUGUGUCCCGUUUCUCUCAUCAGUCCCUCAGUAUAUAUACCAGUCCAUUUUCCCCAGCCCUCUGCUUUCUAGCAUUACCUUCCCUGCUCUCCCUGAGCUACCUGUUUUAUUGGCCCAGCAUGCUUGUUUUUGGACCUUUGAUCUCCUGCCUGCUCCCAUUUGGAUUGGAUUGGAUUGGAUUGGUUUGGUUUGCCUGAUC